AAGAAUAUAAAGCAAAGAAGUCCUACACUGGUGGCAUCUCCACUUUAAUGUCAUCUCCAUUACAUCGACAGAGUCCUAGCUGUCAACUGGAGACACUCUACAGCAUCUGAUUGGUUCAAAUCAGAUAUAAAGCAUGGCUGCUGUUGCUUUGGACAUUCCAAGUUUACCUGGAUUUGAUGAUAUUUUCUUUGGAAUCAGACGAGACAGCAUAGAAUACACACCUGUGUUUGAAAGGAGACCCUUGGACACUGAGGAUGGUGGAUAAC
Molecule: long non-coding RNA, 266 nt
Filed under: Lingula anatina
Lineage: Eukaryota; Metazoa; Brachiopoda; Lingulata; Lingulida; Lingulidae
Description: uncharacterized LOC106166967, transcript variant X2
Source: RNAcentral